RNAcentral lists this ribosomal RNA (253 nucleotides) under uncultured bacterium. Its description in RNAcentral is "partial 16S ribosomal RNA". It matches the Rfam family "Bacterial small subunit ribosomal RNA", at positions 524 to 776 of the family's 1533-position model. The record is from RNAcentral.
UACGGAGGGUGCAAACGUUGCUCGGAAUCAUUGGGCGUAAAGCGCACGUAGGCGGUCCAGCAAGUCGGGUGUGAAAGCCCUCGGCUUAACCGAGGAAGUGCAUUCGAAACUACUGGACUUGAGUACUGAAGAGGGUCGCGGAAUUCCCGGUGUAGAGGUGAAAUUCGUAGAUAUCGGGAGGAACACCAGUGGCGAAGGCGGCGACCUGGGCAGAUACUGACGCUGAGGUGCGAAAGCGUGGGGAGCAAACAGG